AUCGAAGUGUGAUGUUUUGUAUUUGAAUUUUUGGCGGUGGGACACAAGUCUUUGCCGAUUUUUUGUAUCAUUUUAUGUAUAUAUCAAGUCUCGUUUAUUCGCUGAACUAAAUGGAUCGUAUUCUCGUAAUAAAGCGCAAUAUUCGGUGAGUAUUUUUAUAUUUUGUAGCGACUUAUUUACACUUCAAUUGAUUGUGAUUUGUGAUAGAUUUGAUCGCAUAUAUAAACAUCAUAGACACAUAUAAAAAUCUAUUUAAAUAUCGACCUAUAAUCCGUAUUACAGAUGAUAUUUCUUAUAAUAGUUUUCUAAAUGACAGUCUAUUUGUUAUUAUAUUUUAGAGUGAAGAAUUUUGCUUAUUUUAAGUAUGGUAUUCGGACUACUUUCCUAUGAAGAACUCCAGGCAAG
Paramuricea clavata is the source of this 405-nucleotide non-coding RNA. The record is from the annotation of a GenBank genome assembly. NCBI's taxonomy places the organism in Eukaryota, Metazoa, Cnidaria, Anthozoa, Malacalcyonacea, Plexauridae.